UGCGUAGGUGGUUUUGUAAGUUAGAUGUGAAAUUCCUGGGCUUAACCUGGGGACUGCGUCUGAUACUGCGAAGCUAGAGUACUGUAGAGGGAAGUGGAAUUUCCGGUGUAGCAGUGAAAUGCGUAGAUAUCGGAAGGAACAUCAGUGGCGAAGGCGACUUCCUGGACAGAUACUGACACUGAGGCACGAAAGCGUGGGGAGCAAACAGGAUUAGAUACCCUGGUAGUCCAUGCUGUAAACGAUGAAGACUGGCUGUUGGGUGCCCUUGGGCACUUAGUAGCGAAGCUAACGCGUUAAGUCUUCCGCCUGGGGAGUACGGCCGCAAGGUUAAA
RNAcentral lists this ribosomal RNA (332 nucleotides) under uncultured Pseudomonadota bacterium. Its description in RNAcentral is "bacterial SSU rRNA". It matches the Rfam family "Bacterial small subunit ribosomal RNA", at positions 568 to 898 of the family's 1533-position model. The record is from RNAcentral. Lineage: Bacteria; Pseudomonadati; Pseudomonadota.